GGGCCUCCAGCAUAUCUGGUACAUGCAACCGCCUCAUAAGCGGACGAUAGACCGGUUCGAAUCCGGCGAGGCCCACCA
Molecule: transfer RNA, 78 nt
Filed under: Pseudomonas syringae
Lineage: Bacteria; Pseudomonadati; Pseudomonadota; Gammaproteobacteria; Pseudomonadales; Pseudomonadaceae
Description: tRNA-Ile
Rfam family: tRNA
About the family: Transfer RNA (tRNA) molecules are approximately 80 nucleotides in length. Their secondary structure includes four short double-helical elements and three loops (D, anti-codon, and T loops).
Source: RNAcentral